This 239-nucleotide unclassified non-coding RNA is filed under the name soil metagenome. RNAcentral describes it as "partial contains 5.8S ribosomal RNA, internal transcribed spacer 2, and large subunit ribosomal RNA". The stretch from base 1 to 115 matches the Rfam family "5.8S ribosomal RNA", at positions 35 to 154 of the family's 154-position model. The record is from RNAcentral.
GAUGAAGAACGCAGCGAAACGCGAUAUUUCUUGUGAAUUGCAGAAGUGAAUCAUCAGUUUUUGAACGCACAUUGCACUUUGGGGUAUCCCCCAAAGUAUACUUGUUUGAGCGUUGUUUCUCUCUUGGAAUUGCUUUGCUCUUCUAAAAUUUCGAAUCAAAUUCGUUUGAAAAACAACACUAUUCAACCUCAGAUCAAGUAGGAUUACCCGCUGAACUUAAGCAUAUAAUAAGCGGAGGA